UUGUAUUAUUUAUACCCAAAUAAAUGCAAUAUGUAGCUUUCAAGAAGGAACAUUCCACUCUAUUCUAAGUCACCUUUACUAUAUGAUUCCUGCCCUCUCUGACACUCUUUGCAGCCUGUUUCUCCUCCCUCUCUUCCUCCUCCUUCCCGCACAGCCUGGGAAGUAAUCCUAUAUAUAUUAGUUCACCCUCUGCUUCCUCAAAGGCUCUUCUCAGCUCUCUGAAAUUGUGUCACACAAACAAAGAAAAAUGCCUGAAGAAGUUCCUGCUCAGUGCAAGGCUCCCAAAGAUGAGCUGGACAAAUGUGUUCAGGGGAAGGGUGCAGAGGGCUGUAAGCAGCUGCUGGAAGCUUUUGAGGCCUGUGUGAAAGGGGCCACGGCAGCCUCUUGAGGGGACAUGCAUUUACAUGUCCAUCCUUUCUGUGUCCUCCAAUGUCUUUGCAUUGCCUCACAUCGCACUGGACUAAACCAUUCUAGGGACAGUGAGAGGGGUGCAAGUGCUGGAAAGCAGUGGAAAUGUUUAUUCUGAUCCUGGGAAGUCUUGUUGGUGUCCCUCAUGUUGUCCGUGAUAUCUGUAACUGUGGAAGAAAGAAGAACCCAGUUUUAUUAUUAUUUUCCAGAUUUCACACUGUAAAAAACAGUGCAUUUCAUUUGAUUUUGAAUAAAUUACUAUAAUUGUUUCUUUAUUUUGCCAUUACUACACAGGCCGACAGAUUUUAACACAUCCAAAACCAUGACAAUUAAAAGGCAGCCUACAUAACUGUGAUCACUAAAUAACUGAGACUAAAUAGCUUGGUAAUAUGAUUGAUUGACAUUUAACUGCAGUGGUCUACAUACUUCGUAACUUAUGCCAAGCACAUUGGCAGCGCUGCUCAUGUGGUUUCCUGAAAGCAGGCCUGUAGACACAGCACCAGACUAUCAGCAACAUCUAUUGAAGAAAUUCUGAUGGUGUUGACAAAACCACUUUCAUACUUUUCAUCACAUAUCAAUCAUGCUCUAGUCAUGUUAGUAUACUGCUAGCGAGGACCUAUGAAAGGUUAGAAGAAAAUUGCAAUUUGUGUGAAGGGGUUAACAUAUCAUGGUUGUGAUAAAACAUAAGCACAAUGAUGUAAAAAAAAAAACCUUAAUUUGCAGUUUGUAUGAUUGUAUUGACAUAUGGUUGUGACAAAAUAUAAGCAUAACUACACAAGCAUAAAAGGAAAAAAAAUUAUUAGCAUAAAAUAAUAAAAACUCAUCUGAGCCUGUGUGAACUUGCUGAACUCAAGUACUCAUACUGAAACUUAGUU
Long non-coding RNA from Cyprinus carpio carpio, 1283 nucleotides. NCBI's taxonomy places the organism in Eukaryota, Metazoa, Chordata, Actinopteri, Cypriniformes, Cyprinidae. The record is from Ensembl.